CCGACAAACACCUCCAGCUCCGCCGAUGUCGGCGGCAAAACCCACACAAACCCCGCCGACAGCUGCCAUCUGCACUCUUCAGGGGUCCCUCCUAACUCUAGCCAUUGUCACUCUUCUCUCAUUCACUUGUCUCUCUAUCAAAUCCCUCAAUUCCCCUUCUAUCUCAUCAUCUACACCACCUUCCACCACUCUUUUCGCCCCUCAGGUACAUAUUUCUACUCACUCUUCCCAUCCCGUUGAUAAAAAUCCUCUGAAUCGAAUACCCUUUUCACAAAUUCUAAUCUUUUGAUGAUUCCGCAGGUGCGUGUUGUAGAUAAAGAUGGAAUCAAUCAAGCAGAGAGGGUAGAGGGGGAAGAUGAAGUGUCGUCCGAUGUAUUUCAUUCGCCAGAGGUAUUUCGGUUGAAUUAUGCGGAAAUGGAAAGGAAGUUUAAGGUGUACAUUUACCGGGAUGGUGAUCCCAAAACUUAUUAUCAGACGCCGAGGAAGCUGACCGGGAAGUAUGCAAGUGAGGGCUACUUUUUUCAGAAUAUUAGGGAGAGUAGAUUCAUUACCGAUGAUCCGGAUAAGGCUGACUUGUUUUUCAUCCCAAUCUCUUGUCAUAAGAUGAGAGGACUGGUAUAGUUUGCUUAAGUUUGAUUAGUUGAAGUGCAUUGAUAUGGAUGCUGAUGUUUUUUGCUUUCUUGGUUCAGUUGAUUUUAACUUUUUCGAUGAAUGAAGAGAAGAUGAUGUAGUUGAGUGAUAAUAUCCAAGGACUGGUUUUGAUUUGCAAGAGUGUGUUGCCAUGUAAGGUUUUCGACUGACAGGGGGCACUUGGCAGGAAAAUGGCCCUGGAAAGAAUGAAAUAUAAAUGACUUAUUUGAUAGUAUUAUUUUGGGUACAUUUACUUGAUUUCUUAAGGUGAAAGGGUCUUUGCAUACACAGACACCCUGAGAUGGAAUUGAAAAAGUCUUGUUGAUAUAGACUAUUUAGCAGUUGGAUUUAGUAGUAGCAUUUGUUUGUACCUGAAUUAGUCUUCAAGUUCAUGAUCUUACAUGAUACUCUAUCUUGCCCCGUUGUGCGUAAGGUAUUGUGGACAUGUAAGCUUGCAUAAUCUGAAUCUUGAAAGGUGUACCCGUUUACAAUACAAAGCAAUUACUUUGACAUUCAGCUAUCUGUCUGGUCCUUCUGUAUAUCUUAAACCUAAAGUAAGGAGAUUAAAAGUUGGAUUGCAUAAGCAAGUCCAUGUAGCUUGUGGCUUCCUUUGCCUACUGGUUCAUAUUAAACUCAACUGGAAGUUUCUUUUUAGUUUUUUAUUGGACAGUAUUGUAUUAAUGCUGCAAUUUUGUUGCCAGCCACUUCUAAGGUGAUUAGAAUUAUCAUGUAAGCCUUGAUAUAUGAGAUGCUUGUACAUAAUAUAUCUACUUUCUGCAAAUGUUGUUAUGCUUUCCAACUCCUUCCAGUAUGAUAGGGUAGAUGUCUAAACUAUUGUUCCAGUAAAUCAAAUCAAUAUUCUUUCCCAAGAUGUCCUUGGAUUUUGUGACAUAGCUUGAUGAUUUCAUGAUGACUUUUCAGGCUACCUCAUAUGAAAACAUGACCGUGAUUGUGAAGGAGUAUGUUGAGAGUUUAAUAGCCAAGUACCCUUAUUGGAAUAGGACCCUGGGUGCAGAUCACUUCUUCGUAGUUUGUCAAGAUGUUGGAGUCAGGGCAACAGAAGGACUUCCUUUUCUUGUGAAGAACUCAAUACGGGUUGCAUGCUCCCCAAGCUAUGAUGUUGGGUUUAUUCCACACAAAGAUGUUGCUCUUCCCCAAGUGCUGCAGCCUUUUGCCCUUCCAAGGGGAGGAAAUGAUGUUGAAAACAGGUAGCAGUGUCUUGGUUUCAACUUGGUUGUGUAAUUUAUGUAUUGAUUUUAUGCUUCCUGGUUAGAUGAGAUUUAUUGUUUGAACGUAUACUGGGUUUUUCGUAUAUCUCACUUAUUAUUAUGAUUAUUAUUUCGGGUACAAGCUUCUGCUUUCAUCUCAGAAGUGCAAAUUUUAGUGGUCAGGCAUAUUUUCUUGUUUGUCAUUUACCGGGACUUAACUGGGUUGCUUGCUUAUUUAUUUUUUUGGGUUAUACUUGCACUGCAAUCCCACAGUAAGUACAUUAACUCAGAAUGCAACUUGAAAAGUACCUUGGGCUAGUUUUAAUCUAAUACAGGAAAGCAACCUUUACUCUGC
This 2193-nucleotide long non-coding RNA is filed under the name Coffea arabica (coffee). RNAcentral's name for it is "long non-coding RNA (CARA_LNC005240)". Lineage: Eukaryota; Viridiplantae; Streptophyta; Magnoliopsida; Gentianales; Rubiaceae. The record is from RNAcentral.